CGAAGGGUGCAAGCGUUACUCGGAAUUACUGGGCGUAAAGCGUGCGUAGGUGGUUCGUUAAGUCAGUGGUGAAAGCCCAUCGCUCAACGGUGGAACGGCCAUUGAUACUGCUAAACUUGAAUUAGUUGGGAAGUAACUAGAAUAUGUAGUGUAGCGGUGAAAUGCUUAGAGAUUACAUGGAAUACCAAUUGCGAAGGCAGGUUACUACCAAUAUAUUGACGCUGAUGGACGAAAGCGUGGGGAGCGAACAGGAUUAGAUACCCUGGUAGUCCACGCCGUAAACGAUGGAUACUAGCUGUUCGGAGCAAUCUGAGUGGCUAAGCGAAAGUGAUAAGUAUCCCACCUGGGGAGUACGUUCGCAAGAAUG
This 367-nucleotide ribosomal RNA is filed under the name uncultured organism. RNAcentral's name for it is "bacterial SSU rRNA". It matches the Rfam family "Bacterial small subunit ribosomal RNA", at positions 526 to 896 of the family's 1533-position model. The record is from RNAcentral.